This 86-nucleotide transfer RNA is filed under the name Boseongicola sp. RNAcentral's name for it is "tRNA-Leu". It matches the Rfam family "tRNA". From Rfam's summary of the family: Transfer RNA (tRNA) molecules are approximately 80 nucleotides in length. RNAcentral also lists the same sequence under 1 other name. The record is from RNAcentral. Lineage: Bacteria; Pseudomonadati; Pseudomonadota; Alphaproteobacteria; Rhodobacterales; Paracoccaceae.
GCCCGAGUGGCGGAAUGGUAGACGCAGGGGAUUCAAAAUCCCCCGCCUUCACGGGCGUGCGAGUUCGAGUCUCGCCUCGGGCACCA